AACGAACGCUGGCGGCAUGCCUAACACAUGCAAGUCGAACGAGACCUUCGGGUCUAGUGGCGCACGGGUGCGUAACGCGUGGGAACCUGCCCUUAGGUUCGGAAUAACUCCCCGAAAGGGGUGCUAAUACCGGAUAAUGUCUUCGGACCAAAGAUUUAUCGCCUUUGGAUGGGCCCGCGUUGGAUUAGCUAGUUGGUAGGGUAAAAGCCUACCAAGGCGACGAUCCAUAGCUGGUCUGAGAGGAGGAUCAGCCACACUGGGACUGAGACACGGCCCAGACUCCGACGGGAGGCAGCAGUGGGGAAUAUUGGACAAGGGGCGAAAGCCUGAUCCAGCAAGGCCGCGUGAGUGAUGAAGGCCUUAGGGUUGUAAAGCUCUUUUACCCGGGAUGAUAAUGACAGUACCGGGAGAAUAAGCUCCGGCUAACUCCGU
RNAcentral lists this ribosomal RNA (432 nucleotides) under uncultured bacterium. RNAcentral's name for it is "partial 16S ribosomal RNA". It matches the Rfam family "Bacterial small subunit ribosomal RNA", at positions 29 to 506 of the family's 1533-position model. The record is from RNAcentral.